AGUAAUGUAUGGGGAUCUGCCUGAUGGCGGGGGAUAACUACUGGAAACGGUAGCUAAUACCGCAUAAUGUCUACGGACCAAGGCGGGGGACCUCCGGGCCUCGCGCCAUCAGAUGAACCCAUAUGGGAUUAGCUAGUAGGUGAGGUAACGGCUUACCUAGGCGACGAUCCCUAGCUGGUCUGAGAGGAUGAUCAGCCACACUGGGACUGAGACACGGCCAG
This 221-nucleotide ribosomal RNA is filed under the name uncultured bacterium. RNAcentral describes it as "partial 16S ribosomal RNA". It matches the Rfam family "Bacterial small subunit ribosomal RNA", at positions 109 to 334 of the family's 1533-position model. The record is from RNAcentral.